UGGCCGCGGUCGGGCUGAGCCGGGAGCGCCGUCCCGCCUGCCGCCUCCCAGACCUCAGCGGCCGCGAGCGGGGCUGUCGCCCGCCUGUCGCCUGCCCGCGCGGCCUCGGCGGGAGGAGCGGCCGCGCCAGUAAGUAACUGAACAGGGAUAUGAAGAACUAAUAUUGCAAAUGACCACCAUGUUGCAAAAGAAAUAGAUUCUCGUCUUCUGGAGCUGUUCACUGGAAGUUCUGCAUGAAUGUAGAAGGGAAAGGAAAAGAUGGAAAAAGUAGAGGACCUAGCAAGAUCACUUUUUAGCUUCGAGUCCCUGUAUACUGUAAGUCAAUUUACUAACACGCUAUAAAGUCUUUAAAAGUUUUUUUUCCUAUUCUAUGACCCAACAAGCUGGUCCAAUGUUAAUCUAAAUAUUUACUGGUCUUUCAUUAGAAGAGUAUAACAGAAACAACAUAUUAUAUUUAAUAUAAAUAUAAAAACUGCCUCAAGACACAUCUAAGAACCACUGUAUUCUAUCAAUGUAGAUCUCCAGCACAUGAGUUAUGCUAGUCCAUAGAAGUUUAGAAUUCUUAUCCAUUAUAUUAAACUCAUUGGUUUUCUCUAUUAUUUUUGCUACUUUAAGUAGCAAAAUGUAACAAUCAGUUAAUAAUAUCAAAGGAACAUGGCUUAUCCAUUUUCUCAGUGGAGGUAAACAGCGAAUUUCCAAGGCUACUUUAAUUUUCAGUUUUUAAAGAAAAAAUCAAGAUCUCAAAGUAAUAUCUAUAUUAUUCACUAACCACUUUUUAAAAGUGAGAGUUUUCUAGUUUCCUCACAAAUAUCGACUUGACACAGUUCUAGAGUUAUAAAUAUAUUAAUAGUAACAUAUUUUCAGUGACCGUUUUUUGCUCACAUAAUAGUACUUUUCAGGAGACUUUAUGUAUUUUGAAUGACUGUUAUUGUUUAACAUUGAUUCACUUCAUUGUCUUGUAUACUGGCUGGAAAGUUUUAGAAAUAAAUUAUAAAUAAAUUCUAGAUUCUGAGCAUAAGUUUCCCCUAUGUAAAACUCUGAACUUCAAAAGAUUUUAUUUCAGAUUGAUUUCACUGGUUCUCCUUUUGAAGAUUGAAGGGCUUCUAGAAUUCCUAGAAUAGCAUUCUAUGCUCUCUAUAAGACAUAAGAGUCAAUUCAUGAAUGUUGUUCACUGGGUAGGUUAAGUCUGAUAAAUUGCUGUGUCAGCUGUCCCUUGACACCCUUCGUUAGAACUGGAAGCACUGUGGUGAAAUGAUGUCAUGGGAACGCCAGGCUCUGGGGUUCUGCAAAGGAGCAGGUGGCGCCGGGCGAGGCACCGGUGGGUCCCUGGGAGUUCUCGCAGGCACCUCUCUGGCUGCGCUGGGGGCCCUUUUGUUAGUAGCUGGCCACAGUCACAGUCAUUUAGGAAUGGGCAAGGGGACAAGCUGGACAGAUUAUACUAGUGUUUAAGAAUAUACAUGUCCACGUAAACAAAACAUUAGCAUCCUCCUUGGUUUCUGGCAUGAUUUUAAAGUGGAAGUGUUUAACUAUAAUAAUAAAGUGGAGAUUUCCAGAUUGUCCCCACAAUAUCUAAAAUCUUGAUUGCAAUCUUACUUUAAUGGAGUUAUGUAAAAAAAA
Molecule: non-coding RNA, 1617 nt
Organism: Microcebus murinus (gray mouse lemur)
Lineage: Eukaryota; Metazoa; Chordata; Mammalia; Primates; Cheirogaleidae
Source: RefSeq, a predicted model, not a curated record